UACGUAGGGGGCGAGCGUUGUCCGGAUUUAUUGGGCGUAAAGCGCGCGUAGGCGGCUCGGAAAGUCGGUCGUGAAAUGCCGGGGCUCAACCCCGGGACUGCGUCCGAUACUCCCGAGCUGGAGGCAGGUAGGGGAGAUCGGAAUUCCUGGUGUAGCGGUGAAAUGCGCAGAUAUCAGGAGGAACACCGGUGGCGAAGGCGGAUCUCUGGGCCUUGCCUGACGCUGAGGCGCGAAAGCUAGGGGAGCGAACAGG
Molecule: ribosomal RNA, 253 nt
Filed under: uncultured bacterium
Lineage: Bacteria
Description: partial 16S ribosomal RNA
Rfam family: Bacterial small subunit ribosomal RNA
Source: RNAcentral